GGGGUCAUAGUAUAACGGGAUUACGCGGCCUUUGCAAGGCUGACAUCGGGGUUCGAUUCCCCGUGACUCCACCA
Molecule: transfer RNA, 74 nt
Filed under: Planctomycetota bacterium
Lineage: Bacteria; Pseudomonadati; Planctomycetota
Description: tRNA-Ala
Rfam family: tRNA
About the family: Transfer RNA (tRNA) molecules are approximately 80 nucleotides in length.
Source: RNAcentral